Molecule: ribosomal RNA, 37 nt
Filed under: Thermosipho atlanticus DSM 15807
Lineage: Bacteria; Thermotogati; Thermotogota; Thermotogae; Thermotogales; Fervidobacteriaceae
Source: RNAcentral
AGGGGUCCGCCCCUUGCGAGAGUAGGUAGUGCCCGGG